UACAGAGGGGGCAAGCGUUGUUCGGAAUUACUGGGCGUAAAGGGCGCGUAGGUGGCCUUCUAAGUUGAACGUGAAAUCCCUGGGCUCAACCCAGGAACUGCGUCCAAGACUGGGAGGCUUGAAUCCGGGAGAGGGAUGCGGAAUUCCAGGUGUAGCGGUGAAAUGCGUAGAUAUCUGGAGGAACACCGGUGGCGAAGGCGGCAUCCUGGACCGGUAUUGACACUGAGACGCGAAAGCGUGGGGAGCAAACAGG
RNAcentral lists this ribosomal RNA (253 nucleotides) under uncultured bacterium. Its description in RNAcentral is "partial 16S ribosomal RNA". It matches the Rfam family "Bacterial small subunit ribosomal RNA", at positions 524 to 776 of the family's 1533-position model. The record is from RNAcentral.